GACGAACGCUGGCGGCGUGCUUAACACAUGCAAGUCGAACGGUGAAGCGCCUUCCUUUUUGGUGGGUGUGGAUGAGUGGCGAACGGGUGAGUAACACGUGAGUAACCUGCCCCCUUCUUCUGGAUAACCGCAUGAAAGUGUGGCUAAUACGGGAUAUUCUGGGUCUGUCGCAUGAUGGGUCUGGGAAAGAUAUUGUUUCGGUGGGGGAUGGGCUCGCGGCCUAUCAGCUUGUUGGUGGGGUGAUGGCCUACCAAGGCGGUGACGGGUAGCCGGCCUGAGAGGGUGGGCGGCCACACUGGGGCGGAGCGACGGAGCAGACUCCGACAGGAGGCAGCAGUGGGGAAUACUGCACAAUGGGCGGAAGGCUGAUGCAGCGACGCGGCGUGAGGGAUGGAGGCCGGCGGGUUGUGAACUUCUUUCGCCAGUGAAGCAGGCCUGCCUCGUUUGUGGGUGGGUUGACGGUAGCUGGACAAGAAGCGCCGGCUAACUACGUG
This 494-nucleotide ribosomal RNA is filed under the name uncultured bacterium. Its description in RNAcentral is "partial 16S ribosomal RNA". It matches the Rfam family "Bacterial small subunit ribosomal RNA", at positions 28 to 507 of the family's 1533-position model. The record is from RNAcentral.